UAGGGAAUAUUGCGCAAUGGGCGAAAGCCUGACGCAGCGACACCGUGUGUAGGAUGAAGGUCUUCGGAUUGUAAACUACUGUCAGUUGAAGACGAAGGCAGUAGAGUUAAGAGCUCGAAUGCUGACGGUAUUCAAUUAGGAAGUCUCGGCUAACUCCGUGCCAGCAGCCGCGGUAAGACGGAGGAGGCAAGCAUUGUCCGGAAUUAUUGGGCGUAAAGAACACGUAGGCGGUUUGUCAAGUCAUAUGUGAAAACCUUGGGCUUAACUUAAGGAUUGCAUAUGAUACUGGCAAACUAGAGUAUAGUAGAGGAAAGCGGAAUUCCUGGUGUAGCGGUGAAAUGCGCAGAUAUCAGGAAGAACACCAGUGGCGAAAGCGGCUUUCUGGACUGUUACUGACGCUGAGGUGUGAAAGCUAGGGGAGCGAACAGG
Molecule: ribosomal RNA, 429 nt
Filed under: uncultured bacterium
Lineage: Bacteria
Description: bacterial SSU rRNA
Rfam family: Bacterial small subunit ribosomal RNA
Source: RNAcentral